Molecule: long non-coding RNA, 1244 nt
Organism: Meriones unguiculatus (Mongolian gerbil)
Lineage: Eukaryota; Metazoa; Chordata; Mammalia; Rodentia; Muridae
Exons: 4
Source: RefSeq, a predicted model, not a curated record
GUGCCACUGCUCAGUGCACAGAGGUGAAAUAAAGACAGCGUGGAGACGUCGUCAUCUGGGGGACAAGGCUCGGUUUGGUUUAACACUGGUAGAAGGAGGUAUGCGUUGGCAAGCCUGGCAUCUGCAGCUGUGAGAAGAUGGAGAGAGGAGCCUGGUAGAGAGAGAAACCAGCACCCACAGGGGUGGGUCCCAGCGGCGGCAGCGAGCAGGUGCUGCCCCCAAGUGGCUCUGCAGACUGCACGCAUGCUUAAGGGGCCGGGAGCCACAAAACAGAUCACGUACUUAGACUUCCUGGUGUAAAUCAAAAGGAAAGCGUUGUUAAGAGAAUUAGGUCCGCAUACAGCAGAGGCAGCAUCCAUCAGGUGAGCCACUGGACUCCGCGCCUGCCUGCAACAAAGAGGCCUUUGACCUCUGAAUGUGGAGAAAGAAAACCCUGGCAUAAUCGCUGUUAGAACCGUAAAUGAAAAAGGACAAAUUGCAUUUACAGCGGCAAGAGAGGCCUCCUGGAGGACCUGAACGAUGAACUAGGCCACGGACAUUGAGUAGGUCAGACUGCAUGCUAGGCGGGAGUCAGUCUCUGAAGGAGGAUUUCCAAAGUUCCUUCAGAAAGAAGAAAAGUAAAGAUCACUUCUGCUGUUUUGAUGCUCUGCCCAAGUCCAAGAAGCCAAGUACUGAAUCCUCUGAAACCAUGAACCAAAAUAAACCCGACUUCAUUUUAAUUGUUUCUGCCAGGCAUUUGCUCACAGCAAUGAGAAAAGUUAUUAGAAUAGGCUAUGUGUGAACAUACUGUUCCAGUAGGCCUCACUUGAACAUUUCAGGAUGUAAGUGAGUGUAUCCAAGGAAGUGCACAUUCUUAUUUCUAUGCCACAAGACACCUCAUGUCCGGGUUCGUUGCUGUGAGAGUUUGCCAUGAGAUGAAAGGGCUAGGCAGGAGAAAGCAGCUCUCAGGCCAGAGCACACUUCAUGGAGCAAAUGAGAUCAUUUCAACCGGCCACAGAAUAGCUGGGUUUCUGCAGCGUGAGCAAGACACGCACUGACCUUUCGUGGUGCUGCAAAAGGAUCCCUGGAGAGACACAGGGAUCUUGGGAAAGGGGCUUUCCAACGGUCCGGGUGCUGCAUUUGUGGGUGAGAUCAAGAGCCAGCCUCAAUCCACUGGAGGAGCAUUAAAGCUAAACACUUGACUGGCCUGGGGUUCCAAAGAACGCAACAUCAGAAAAGAGAAGAUCAGCUAUCCAUGCUUUUCC